GAUGAACGCUAGCGAUAGGCUUAACACAUGCAAGUCGAGGGGCAGCAUGGUCUUAGCUUGCUAAGACUGAUGGCGACCGGCGCACGGGUGCGUAACGCGUAUGCAACUUGCCUCACAGAGGGGGAUAACCCGUCGAAAGACGGACUAAUACCGCGUACACUCUAUUUUGGGCAUCCAAGGUAGAGGAAAUGAAAUUCGCUGUGAGAUAGGCAUGCGUCCCAUUAGCUAGUUGGUGAGGUAACGGCUCACCAAGGCGACGAUGGGUAGGGGAACUGAGAGGUUGAACCCCCACACUGGUACUGAGACACGGACCAGACGCCUACGGGAGGCAGCAGUGAGGAAUAUUGGUCAAUGGGCGAGGGCCUGAACCAGCCAAGUCGCGUGAAGGAUGACUGUCUUAUGGAUUGUAAACUUCUUUUGUAGGGGAAUAAAGAGGGGCACGUGUGCCCCAGUGAAUGUACCCUACGAAUAAGCAUCGGCUAACUCCGUG
Molecule: ribosomal RNA, 490 nt
Filed under: uncultured bacterium
Lineage: Bacteria
Description: partial 16S ribosomal RNA
Rfam family: Bacterial small subunit ribosomal RNA
Source: RNAcentral